Molecule: transfer RNA, 85 nt
Filed under: Candidatus Aminicenantota bacterium
Lineage: Bacteria; Candidatus Aminicenantota
Description: Candidatus Aminicenantes bacterium tRNA-Leu
Rfam family: tRNA
About the family: Transfer RNA (tRNA) molecules are approximately 80 nucleotides in length.
Source: RNAcentral
GCCGGGGUGGCGGAAUUGGCAGACGCACGGGACUUAAAAUCCCGGGGGUGAAUAACCCGUGGGGGUUCGAUUCCCCCCUCCGGCA